ACCCAACAGCCACUCAAACACUGAUCCAAUUACCUCGUCCAUAUAUCACGGUACCUGACAUCGCCUUGAUUGUAGUAGUAACCGAAGAGGCCUUUUCUAAUCUGUUGUUUUGAUUAUGUACUUUCCGCUGAGCUAAACAGCCUUGAUGGGGUUUUGCGUUUGUUUUUUAAGUUUUAAGCUGUUCGUGGUACUCAUCUCAUCCUUCUCCAUCCAUUUUCACAAGAGACUGUUGACACAUUCCUGAUGUCAAUUAUAAAUGGGGCGCGUCGAGGAGAAAUAAUCUCUUUUCACGAGAGCCAAUCGAUUUUUGACAAAGUUAGUCGUAUUGGAUUUUAAGGGAAAUAACUUUUCUUGAUAAAUAUUAAAAAAAAACGUGAUGGAACGACAUUCUUUUUCUAGUAGUUGCUGACGCUUUUCUCAAGAUAUUGACGGAAGAAGUUCCAUCGGCUUGUUCACGCAAUUCACGUUCCCUUGGGCCUGUCCAGAUUCAUUUCCUUUUUCCGGCGGAUCUCUCGAGAAUAGGAAAACCUCCGGGCUUCUUUUUUUUAUAUUCUCUUUCUCGAUUGGGUCAAUAACAAUAGGAAUUAGAACCCCAUCACAUGGCAAGAUGUUGCUUGCCCCUUUAUUUUCCUCGUGAUUCGUCUGUAAGACUCACGGACACGCACAGAAUGUUGACCUUGGGGUAGAAAUGACUCGUCCGCUGGUAGGAGGGAGGCAAUAGGAGGAGCCUAAAGAGAAUCACGUAUUUCCAAAACGGAUAUGCAAGAGCUCUGCCCCCAUUGAGCAUCACAACACUGUCGAGAUCAUGCUUUCACGCUUUGUAAAAGCUUGGCAUUUGGAUCUGAGCCGAAACUAUUAUUGUUCGAUUUUUCCCAUUUUCGUUUGGGAGUGUGAGGAUUUUUUUUGGGAACUUUCCCAGAUUCCCAUCUCGUCCAUCUCUGCUGAAUGUGACGAGACGAUUUGAUUAAUGAGUUACUUGCCCUCGGCGACGUCUGCAGACUACAGCCUUUCUUCUAGUCAUUCAGUCCCGUUAACUCUGUUGUUAUUCUAUUCGUGUUUCUACCGUGCUGCCAUCUACUACGUUGCAGAAUUCAUCGCAAAUCCACUAGGAGAUUCCUUUUCUUCUUCUCCCGAUAGGUAGGAAAUGAAAUCGUAAUAAAACGAAAGGGAAGAGGAGGAAUCGUAAAAAGAAAAGAAAAAAAAAACAUUGAAGUCAAUUUCGGUGGUCUCUCUGAUUGUCGUGUGCUGCAAGCUAUGCUAUUUUCCAAAUAAUAGGAAUAUGGGAACUGCAGAAGAAAAAAGGAAUGUUCUCAGAAAAUAUCUAGACCUCCAAAAUACGAGACUUCCGUUUCCUUUACCGCAUCGAAUCGUGAUUUUGACCCAAUUUGAGGUUGUGUUUUUGUGGGGAUGUGUGUUAUUCUUUGGUGGUGGGGGUGUGGCUGAAUCGUGGAUAUAAUCCCUGGAUCGCGGCCAGUGAACAGCAGGCCAAAAAAAAUGGUGCCUUGCGCUCAUUUCGUAUGCUUCAAGUUUUCUGGAUUUCAAGUACUGACGAAAUAGAAAACGACUAACUUUACGUUCACCAUCAAUGCGUGAUCAAUCAAUCAGGAAGGCGACAGUUGAGCACACUAUACACAUUUGUGUGUUUUCCUUUUUCUUUUUUAUCUUUCUGCUUCUUUCCAUUCGCUAACCAACUUGGCUGCCGCCAGCUGCAGCAGCGCGAUCGAUACCAAACUCUCCCAACUUCUGCAACUUGUGUCCCUUGGCCGCCCCAAAGGCUCGUUAGUUGCUCUCACGCCGUCUUUAUAUCCGCUUUUGUCAUCGAAACUAAUAGCAAAUGGAUGUUGCGAGGAAAAUUCCCUCGCCGGUAUCACAACCACUAUCUUUUCUCCUGAUCCGAUCUUCAUUGUCUGAUGGCGGUGGUUGUCGUCGCGGCGUUGAUGCGAUUUCAGAUGGCACAGAGUAGAGGCUGCCCCGGAGGACGUUUCAAUGAGGCGCUUGUUGAUGCGUGAGCCCAACCCAACAGCCGUCGGCUCUUUUGCACGGCGCCAAGAGUGUUUUGACUUGCGGAAGCGUCUACACACUUUCAAGUGGCGUCUUUUUCUUUUUCCGUUUUCCCUUUUUUUUUUUUUUAUUCUGCUCUGCGGCACAAUGCGUUCAAUCUAGCAGUAGGAAUGGAAAGUCAUAAGGAAAGGAACACCAGGAGAGAUAUCUGUCGGAUUGACAUUUGGUGCUAUGCAGCAAUCACACCAAACUACGUCUAGAGAUCACAUUCGAAAAAGAAAAAAACGAAUGGAAAAUUACCAAGCCGACUCAUCCGCUCCAUUUCAUUAUACGAGUCCCUAUCCUUGAAUGAAGAGGGGUUGUUACACGAUCGGUUUCCAAGUCCUUGACUCUCAUAGGUUGAUCAGAUGUCUUGGAUUUACAAUGUUUUUUUUUUUUUUAAAUCUA
This 2448-nucleotide long non-coding RNA is filed under the name Daphnia magna. RNAcentral's name for it is "uncharacterized LOC123469384". Lineage: Eukaryota; Metazoa; Arthropoda; Branchiopoda; Diplostraca; Daphniidae. The record is from RNAcentral.